Dalotia coriaria is the source of this 1309-nucleotide long non-coding RNA. RefSeq lists it as uncharacterized. The record is from RefSeq and is a predicted model, not a curated record. The transcript has 7 exons. NCBI's taxonomy places the organism in Eukaryota, Metazoa, Arthropoda, Insecta, Coleoptera, Staphylinidae.
GCGUCGUUCGUACGUUCGACGUUCGCCGGUUUUAAAGUUCGUUUCUCAUUGGGUGAUCACAGUCGCAGUUCACAAAGUUUCUUUUUUAAUUCGGUAAUAGUAUUGCAAUAUCGCGAGUCAUUUGCUACCGCUGGUUUAUACGCAUCUUGAAUAUAUUAUCCAAGUGAUUUUCGCGCAUUCUUUUCAAACCUUUUUAUGCGAUUUCGCACACGGAAUGUCACUGAACAAGUUUUCUAGUCGCAUUCCCUGAGUCCUGAGUUGAUUAUUCUGCAUGAAACAUUAUUUGUUGCAAAUAGUGCCCGUUUUCUUGGAGCGUGCGCGCAGUAUUAUCGCGUAUUAUCAUGCCGCGUUGCUGACUGCGCUGCGCGGUAUGCUCAGCGCCACUCAGCGCAGCUAUGAGCAGGUCGUUGGUUGACUCGGGCGUGUUUCUCGCGGUUGUUAUCAUUUUAUUUUGAGUUUGUAAUUUGCUUGCUCGCGUUGCAACAAAAAUUGUAUUAUUGACAAUACUUUAUGGUGUUUCAAAGGCAGCGGCGUAGCGUUCCUUGUCGGGGCCCCGUAUAAAAAUUUUUUUGGAGGCCCUUAUAUGGAGGUGUUUUGCACGUGAACUCGACAUCGGAGGAAAACUAUUCUUUCAUCAGAUUGUGUUUUGAACCUGAACCCGAUGUCAUAGGAAAACCAUUCUUGUAUCAGAUUGUGUUUUGAACCUGAACCCGACGUCAUAGGAGAACCAUUCUUUAUCAGAUUGUGUUUUGAACCUGAACCCGACAUCAUAGGAAAACCAUUCUUGUAUCAGAUUGUGUUUUAAACCUGAACCCCACAUCGAAGGAGAACCAUUCUUAUAUCAGAUUGAUUAAUUUGCGCAGCAUAGUCUGCGCUGCCAUUUGAACAGUACCGAGCCGGUUGGCAGCUUCGAGUGCGUCCGGUGUCCGCACGUUAAAGUCAGUCGGUGAUACGCUGUUGUGAGGAGUGUACGUGUUAUUUUUCUCCGUCGAUCUUCAUCGCGACUGUUAGCAAUUCUGUUGUUUAUACGGUACAAGCAUUAGAAUCGUGUGCCAUCGGAUUGGAUUUACUGGUCAACAUUAUUCAAUUGUUAAUUUGUGAAGAUAAAUCACGCGUUUUCUCUGUGGGGUAUUGUUGCCAGUGCAAAAGUACUACUUUAUGCGCUUUGGUACUUCAUAAACCGAACAACAAAGAAGUAUGUAACAUCAGGUACAAAAUUUCUUCUGUUAAAUUAUACAUAUACAUUUGGAUUGAUUUUAUGAUACAUGUAAGAAUACUGUUCUGUAAAUAAAGGAUAAUUUAAUUUUAA